This 429-nucleotide long non-coding RNA is filed under the name Elaeis guineensis (African oil palm). RNAcentral's name for it is "long non-coding RNA (EGUI_LNC060411)". Lineage: Eukaryota; Viridiplantae; Streptophyta; Magnoliopsida; Arecales; Arecaceae. The record is from RNAcentral.
UCUCCCCUCUCUUGCACCAACUUUCUCCAUGCCUACCUUCUCUUUAUGAUGCCUCCUUUGUGCAUGGUUUCCUCAUCUCCAUGCAGAAAAUAAGGGACUCUUGGAUGCCCCAUAGUUUCUUUGUUUGACUAGGUCUUUUGACCUAGUGUACCUUAUAUAUUAGUGCCUCCUAUAUGAUGAUUUGAGAGAGUCAAAAAAAUUUGUGGUUUUUUCAUAGAAAAAGUAGAGAAGAAAGAGAUUGGCAUGGGUGUUUUGAGGCAUCAAUUUUCUUGGAGGAGAGUCUUCUAUCAAGACAUCAAAAGUUAAUGUCUUGUAGAGACAAAAGGUAAGAGAAAAGAUUAUCUUCUCUUAUUAUUUUUCUUUCAGUUUAUUUUCUCUUUACUUUUAUAUUUUUAUGUGAUAAAAAUUUGAUAGAGAAAGAGGGAUGGC